This 5141-nucleotide long non-coding RNA is filed under the name Gallus gallus (chicken). Its description in RNAcentral is "lncRNA (ENSGALG00010026620.1)". Lineage: Eukaryota; Metazoa; Chordata; Aves; Galliformes; Phasianidae. The record is from RNAcentral.
CAGCACCAGCAGUGCUUCCCCCCCACCUCCCCCCGUUCCCCGCAUCCCCCGUCGGGGUCCGUCGGCUCCGUGGCCUCAGGGCGGCGCUCGCUGGCCGGGAUCGGCCCCCGCUCCGCGCUACCUCCGCACCAGCGCUGCCAUCCGCGGUGCGGCCUUUGUUUGUUUCCUCUGCCAAGCCGAACACCAGCAUUUUAACCGAGCUUUUUUUGUGUUUUGAUUUUUCUUUCCCCCCCCAAACUUUAAGCGAAAGAAGGGAAAAAGCAAAGAGAGAAAGGGUGAACUGGAAAUGCAGACGGUGUGCAGAAACGAAACGAUCCCACAGCUCAGCGAGAGAAUACGUAAGAAUGAUCCCCAUAAACCCGACCCCAGUUUGGGGCGAUCGGAGCCGUCUCAGCCCCAUCCUGGGGCUCUGCACCAAACCCGGCAUCGUGAGCUGAGAUGGGGAGAGCGAGGGGAGCUUCGCUUACAGAAAUAUCAUCUAAUUAGUCCACAGAUGCGGCAAAUCUUCUAAAUUAAUCGAAUAAGACUUUAAGUCGCAACAGGAGCUUUGGGUGGAGCGGGUAAGGCUGAACCUCGAGAAAGAAUCCAGCAGCACUUAAAAGGGAGAAGGAAACGUUGGAUGGCAUUAAAGAAAAGGAGUUGGCAAAACACUUCCAGCAAACCUGCAGUCGGAUACGAGCAUCUACUUAUCCGACAUUAAACCUCUCUCUUCGCUAAGACUUUAUCGGUCCAACAAUUCAUUCGAUUUUUUUUUCCUAUUUUAUUUUUCAUGGGGAAAUCUGACCAAAAAUCUCAGUUUUAGUCUUCUUUUCUUUCUUUCUCCCCCCGAUUAAUCUUUUAAUUAUUUUUAGUUUAUACAUUUCAGGUUAUUUGGGAUUACGUUUAAAUCUCCGAAAAAAAAAAAUCAGUUAAGAAUGAAUAAAUUGAAGAGUAAUAUUGAUAAGAAUUCUAUGGAAAGACCCAACAGAAAUGCAUCCUUCUCUGGGUGUCCCCUUAAACAAAAUACCGCAUUUCUUCCUAUCCUACCAAUUUGUUGGAAAACUUAAUUAAGCUCGGCUACCUUCCAUUAUUUAUAUAAACCCUCCGUCCGGGAGACUUUAAGAGGUUUCUUCUCCGGUUUCCAACAUUGUUAUUAGAAAUCCAUAAAGCAGGGGAGGGGCAGGAAAUUAAAUUUAAAGGUACCUCAUUACGGCACAACUGCUUUCCUAUGGCAGCGGACGGAGACAACACAUGGCGGCAUAAAAGGCUGAGUCCCCCCAGCACGUAGACUUGGCAAUCCUCUCGAAAUGACCUUUUAAUUCCAAGCCUAGCAAGCUUCCGUCCACACAGCGGGCUCUAAGAGUCGGCAGAGAGGGGAGGAAAAUAAACUAAAAUAGAAGAGAGGACACCGAUGCGAAUGGAAGAGCCACGCAGAUGGAAAGCGUGGGGCGGAUGGUGGUUAGUAGUGGGUUUGACUGGGUGGGCAUCAGGAGAGGUAACCGCUAUUGGGGGGGAUUUGUUCCAGAAGUUCCCAGCUUUGCUCCAAGAGGGAUUUCCCUGCCGUGUGUCUGCAGUCCCCGAUUCGUUUCCCGCUGGAUAGUGCAGAUUAAGUGGGUUUCAGCCCAACGCAGAAACAAAGAAACGAUGCUAACCGUGAAGAGUCGGAACCGAGAAUAGACGGAACUCUCAACAGACGGUGCGGAGAAGUGGAGGUGCGAACAAAGAUCGGUUUUGCUCCCGAUCUUUGUUUUAAAGGAGAGCUUGAACUUUGAGAAGACAGAGGAAGAAAUGAUCAUAGAAGCUAAAGAAGGGGGAAGACGAUCAGCUCUGCUCGCCCGUCCGCAGAAGCAGCCAACAGCUUUCUAUCCGGACGGCUGCAGCUGAUGAGAAGCAUUAAGUAUUCUCGGGAAUCUACACGUGGGAAACUACAAAAAGACCAACACGUUACGAACACCACCUCCCUCCCCAGCACUCGGCGAGGCCGAAUCCAGCACCGACUUACCCAUUCCGCUCCUUCUCUUUUUAAUUAAGAUCACUUUUUAAGCAAACUCUCCCACUCCGAAGAAAAAAUAGCAAUAAUAAUAAUAAUAAGAGCCAAGGAAAUAUAUAAAGAAGAGGCAGCCCCACUCGUUGGCAGAGCAUCCUCCCACCACUUGUUAGAGCGAACCUUCCCCAGCUCCGGCCGAUUUCGCGUUAUUUCAUUUUUCUCACUCCUUUCCUAGACUGGCGAGAGAGCAAAGGUGCCGUAAAUUAAUUUUUAACUAAAAGCCCUUUGUGUUAACGAAGGGGGGGGGGGGGGGGAAACAACAACAAACCAACAACCCACCUUCCCUCCUCCCCCUGUUUAGCAGUCUAGACAAAACCACUCUAUUUUGACGGCGGACUGCGGGCUUUCCCUGCUCGCCGCCCAUUCCUGAUUGUUUGCAUUCGCCCCCUGUAAAGCCUGGGGAGGGGACUUCAGUUUUUGUUUAUUUGUUUUACCCACCUUCGAUUUCUGGUGCCGUUUUAGCAUCUUUAGACCCUUGCCUAAAGACGGUAUUUCGUGCCGCGACAAAAAAGAAAAGGCCUAUCUUCUCUUUUUAUUUCCCCCCGGUCCAUAAGGAGCCUCCAGCAGAACGGACACCUCGAAAUCCCCAAUUGCGGUGGGUGCGAAGCCACGUCAUCCCAGAGCCGACUGAGGACAGAGGUUAUGCGGCACCGGGGAAGCUGCGGGCCCGGAGGGGUGGCUGGGUGCGGGACCCCCGGUGCCGGCUGCUGCCGACCCUUUUGCACCCCCAAAGGAGGUGCGAGGGGGGAAACAUCCCCUCAUCCCCCUCCUUUAGAGCUAAGGAGCCGAGGGUGGGUGGCGGAGAGGGGAGUGCUGGGAGCUGCCGGGUGACUGGUGGGCUCCGGCUUUGCGAAAACGGUAUUUUGGGAUAAGGUGGGGGGGGAGAGGGGGGCAAGUCUCUGCCGAUUGACUUAUCUGUUAGAAAAUGCGUGUGCAGGCGGCUUCCGGCGGGGCUCACCAAUCCGGGGCGGACGAGGCUGCUAAGACCAUCCCCUGGUGUCAAUUUUAAUGGGAAACUUCACCGCUUUGCGGGGGGGGAAGAGGGGGGGGGGGGGGGUGCCGCUGCUGCCGCUGCUGCCGCCGCGUAUUUUUUAAUACGAGGACGCGCGGCUGCGGCUCACGCCGACUUUCCCGUUGUUCCUCCCCGCUCCCUCCACUCCGACGCGUUUACUCACACCGCUAUUUCCAGCCUCCCCAUUUUUGGUAUGGGGGCUAUUUUGAGAAAACCCUUUCGGAGGUGAAACAAAACCCCUUGGUUAUACCGAGGCACGAAAACCCAUCCCCAAAAAAUCCAAAGCCAAGCCCAACUGCGUGCGCUCAGCCCGAAGCUUUUGCCAUAGGGGAGGGCUCAGCUCUGUCCCCGCAGCCCCAUGGGACAAAUCCUCACGUCCCCGCAGUCCAUUUGCCCUCGGGCUGUACAAGUCUACGUGCAGGGGAGGGGAAUUUUGUAUGUUACAUGCAAUAAAGCUGCGGUGCUUUUGGGAAUGGAAAAACCACUUGUCGCGUCGGGACACACAAGGAGGAGCCGGGAGGUGACACGCAGAUCCCCAUUGUGGGGUUAGCUCUGGAGCUUGCCCGGCUCAGGAAGCCGCACCCAGCCUGCUCCGAAUAGGAUUUAUACACUGGAUUAGCUGCCUGGCCUCGCACUGCAAUUUAACAAUCACCGGGGAUUCAUUUUGUCUCUAAGAAAAAAAAUAAAUGCGCUUUGUGGCGCAAUCCUCUGCAGGGCUGCAAUUGCCAAGGGAAAAACAAACAAACAACGCAACAACAACGCAACCAAACAUAAAAACCCCAAAUCCCUACAGCAACUCAGAGGGUUCCCGGUGGUUGGAGGCACCGUUUCCAAAAUGGCUCGAGCCGAGAGCGAGAAGAAAAAGGGGAAAAUUGGUUCUUCGUUAGAAUCUCUUUAAUCCAAUCUCUUCGUUAGUAAUCCGCAUCUCCUUCUGGAAUUAAGCCUGAGGGAAAGGAGUGCUGGAAAUCUGUUCAAGCUCAUGAUGGGAGGAGAUGGUUUAUAACCGCAACUGGUUCUGUAUUCGCGGCACAUACUCAAAAAAUAAAACGGAGCGGAUUUUAGUAGCUACUAAUGGGCAGUUAUUAUAGAAAGGGCAAUCGAAGGGAUUUAAAAGAUUUUGGAAAUUAGAGGUAUAAACCGAAAAUUCAUACAUAUGGAGAGGAAGAGAGAGGAGACUUUUUUCGAAGCUCUCCGAGACCCGGAGGGGUCUUUGCUCUCUUUUCUGUGGUCUCCUUUCCCGAUGCUCCCAGGACUGAGCGCAGCACCCGGAUUGCAGCAGCUGGGUGCUACAAAGUCGGGGGCUUUUCCCCCAUUUCAGCGCCUUUCUGCCUCUCUUCUCUUCCAAUCGCUUUCCCACUUGCUCUUUCAACAGCCUUUUGUACAGCAAUGGGGAACGUAGCCAAAAAUCCUCCAUUAAUAAAGAAUAUAAUUCCUCCUUCAGGGUCUGAUCCUGCACUGUGACCCCUCGGGGAGGCGGGGGGGCUUUUCCGUGCAGACUCGUCCCUGUCCUUUCCCCUAUGGGCCAAAGUCCAGGCUCGCUUUGCACACUGGCAGCCCGCGGUGCCUCCACCCCGCCCGGGGGCAAAGGCAGACAGCAGCCCCGGCCCCUCUCCUUGCACUUGUCCUCAGCCUUUUUCCAGAACCGAGAGCCGUCGGGGAACUGAGGAGGAGGAAAAGGAAGGAGAAAUAGGCAUAGAACCUUUAAGGGGAAAGUCGAGGAUUGAGACGCAGGAUAUCUCGGCUAGAAGGAAUGAAGAUUCGCUCCGAAGGUGUUGUUUUGUUUUUUAACAAAAAAAAUCUGUGCUUGGUCGGAAAAGAUUAACCCAAAAGUCCCCGACAAACAACGGCCCUUUGCAGGGGAUGCAAUCACACACAAAACAGCCCCAAACCGCCGCCUCUCGAGGCUCACUGCCAGCACGCACUACAGAGCUGUGCCGUCGGGGCACCCCGCUCCCGUCCGACCUUCUGCCGCGUCCCCCACGGCCCUCAUGCCUUCAAACAGAACCCUUCCUUGUAAAAGUCACUUUAUAGCGCCUGAGCCUGAAAACUACCAGGUAACAGCCUUUUUACAACCCGACUCCCAGGACACGGUUUCAUUUCUUU